RNAcentral lists this transfer RNA (73 nucleotides) under Cellulomonadaceae bacterium. RNAcentral's name for it is "tRNA-His". It matches the Rfam family "tRNA". Rfam says of the family: Transfer RNA (tRNA) molecules are approximately 80 nucleotides in length. Their secondary structure includes four short double-helical elements and three loops (D, anti-codon, and T loops). The record is from RNAcentral. Lineage: Bacteria; Bacillati; Actinomycetota; Actinomycetes; Micrococcales; Cellulomonadaceae.
GUACCCAUAGCUCAGUAGGUAGAGCGCCUGGUUGUGGUCCAGGAGGUCGCCGGUUCAAACCCGGUUGGGUACC